This is an RNA transcript of Cimex lectularius (bed bug), 1367 nucleotides long. RefSeq lists it as uncharacterized. The record is from RefSeq and is a predicted model, not a curated record. Lineage: Eukaryota; Metazoa; Arthropoda; Insecta; Hemiptera; Cimicidae. The transcript has 5 exons.
AAAUCAGAUGACCUAUUGUCUAUCGGAUUUGUUUUGUUUUUAUGAGGCGUUUUUGUAUUGUUUUAUUUUUGCCAGAAAAUUGAGGACGAGUGUUAAUAUAUCACCAAUGGGCUAUUUUGCUAUGGGGCGGAUGGAUAUGAUGAUGAAAUUCUUGCUGAACAGGAGCUGCCUCGUCUGCGGGUCCUCGUUUCUCGCCCCGCAAUGGCAUCAUUCGACGGCGGUCGUCCAUCGAGAUAUGCUCAUCACUUGUAUGGCUACAAAGGAUAAUAAACUUUUGAAAGAGAAGAAGUUACAUCUUCUUGGAACUUCAUCUGAUGUAAUGCACUACUUGAAAAUGACAAAACCUGACCAAGUUUACGAUAAGUUAAUUGAGUGUAAAGUAACGCAGAGUUACCCCGAAGUGGAAGUCUUGCAUCUUUUGGCCAAUUUUUUUUCAAUCGGUGGACAUGUCAAAGGCUUAGAGGCCGUCAAAAGCAUCUGUCAGAUUAAGUGUUUAAAAGAGUUUAAAAGGUCUUCAAAUUUUGCCCACUACACCGCCCAGCUGUUCUGGCAAAAGGGCAACUUCAAAAAGGCCAUGGAUGAGUUUACAAAUGUGACUAAGAGGCUGCCCUCUUUGAGGCCGGAAGUGUCAAAGAUGAUCAGGAAUCUUAUCAAGACAUCCGUACCCAUUAUUAGCAGAGCAUCAGUCAAAGUGAUAUAUGAUUCAUCAUUGCAGUAUUCAGUACAAAAUGACGACUAUUCUGUGCUGGGGGCAUUCUGGCUUUCACUUUUUACUAGCCACUGGCACGAAGACCAACAAACCUCCGUCCAACUUCUCCUCACUCACAAAGGCUUACAAGAACAUAUCGAAAUGCAGAUUCCUCAGAUAUCGAAAACUUUCCUUACUCGUCACAACAUUGCUGAUUAUCAGAGGCUCUUGGAAUGUGUCUUGCAAUGCAACAUGGAAAAUUCAAGUGCACAUCUCCUCAGAGCUCUAUUUGACUACUAUUCCUGCACAAUUUGGAUAUUUUGGGUUUAUUUUAUGACAGCUGGAGGCAGAUGUCGGGUUCAGCAUCUAGAGAUGGCUUUGUUAUAUACUUUUGUUGACUGUAGAUAGAAAAUCUGGAUUUCUGGAUUCGCAUAGGCGUCCAAGUUCCGCAUUGAAAAAAGGAAGUAAAACUUCUGAAACGUUCACAAAUAAAAACAAAAAAAGUUCUGACUGCAUUCCUAAAACAACCAUUAAUAAUAAUUAAAAAUAUUCAUCACAUCUUAAUUAAGGAUCCAUCAUUAACAAUUAAAUAAAGUAGGUUACGUCAAAGGAUGCAUUGCAGUUGUAAAAUGUUGCGACGCAAUCGAUGUGAAGCUGGCAAUGGACCAAUUGUACAAAU